CUCGUAGGUGGCCAACUAAGUCAGACGUGAAAUCCCUCGGCUUAACCGGGGAACUGCGUCUGAUACUGGAUGGCUUGAGGUUGGGAGAGGGAUGCGGAAUUCCAGGUGUAGCGGUGAAAUGCGUAGAUAUCUGGAGGAACACCGGUGGCGAAGGCGGCAUCCUGGACCAAUUCUGACGCUGAGGAGCGAAAAGCGAGGGGAGACGAAACGGG
This 212-nucleotide ribosomal RNA is filed under the name uncultured bacterium. RNAcentral's name for it is "partial 16S ribosomal RNA". It matches the Rfam family "Bacterial small subunit ribosomal RNA", at positions 568 to 776 of the family's 1533-position model. The record is from RNAcentral.